This 468-nucleotide ribosomal RNA is filed under the name uncultured bacterium. RNAcentral's name for it is "partial 16S ribosomal RNA". It matches the Rfam family "Bacterial small subunit ribosomal RNA", at positions 28 to 507 of the family's 1533-position model. The record is from RNAcentral.
GACGAACGCUGGCGGCGUGCUUAACACAUGCAAGUCGAACGGAAAGGCCCUGCUUGUGUGGUAUUCUCGAGUGGCGCACGGGUGAGUAACACGUGAGUCACCUGCCCUUGACUUUGGUAUCACUUCAGAAAACUGGCGCUAAUACCGGAUAGGAUCCCCUUCUGCAUGGUGGGGGUUGGAAAGUUUCGGCGGUUGGGGAUGGACUCGCGGCUUAUCAGCUUGUUGGUGGGGUAGUGGCUUACCAAGGCUUUGACGGAUAGCCGGCCUGAGGGGGGGACCGGCCACAUUGGGACUGAGAUACGGCCAGGACUCCUCCGGGAGGAAGCAGUGGGGAAUAUUGCACAAGGGGCGGAAGCCUGAUGCAGCAACGCCGCGGGCGGGAUGACGGCCUUCGGGUUGUAAACCGCUUUCGCCUGUGACGAAGCGUGAGUGACGGUAAUGGGUAAAGAAGCACCGGCUAACUACGUG